AAAGGGAGACCUAAUUCAGGUAAAAGACGAAAAAAAAGUAGUCCCAACCAAGAAUCAAUCCCAAAAGGUCGGAGCGAGGCGAAAUUGGCUUUCAAACUAGGUUCUGGGUUCACAGAAGACCUGAAUCAGGAACAAGGGCUAUUAGCUCAGGUGGUUAGAGCGCACCCCUGAUAAGGGUGAGGUCCCUGGUUCGAGUCCAGGAUGGCCCACCUGCACAGGUGGUAAAAACAAGAGAAGCGAGGAAUCAGCACCUUAUCUUACUUACAUAGUAAGAGAGAAUGCUGGCUCUGAGUAAAGAGUCCAGAGGAACCUUGAAAACUGCAUAGAGCUAGGUGAAAAAGCCAAAAAAGAAGACCGCAAG
RNAcentral lists this transfer RNA (361 nucleotides) under uncultured Microcystis sp. RNAcentral's name for it is "partial 16S-23S ribosomal RNA intergenic spacer". The stretch from base 136 to 209 matches the Rfam family "tRNA". The record is from RNAcentral. Lineage: Bacteria; Bacillati; Cyanobacteriota; Cyanophyceae; Chroococcales; Microcystaceae.